RNAcentral lists this long non-coding RNA (1410 nucleotides) under Salmo salar (Atlantic salmon). Its description in RNAcentral is "lncRNA (ENSSSAG00000087841.1)". Lineage: Eukaryota; Metazoa; Chordata; Actinopteri; Salmoniformes; Salmonidae. The record is from RNAcentral.
GGAAAAGAGAGGAUCAACUCGGCGGCAAAUCUGUCUCCCCCAGCAGGUCGCGGUUUUUUUUCGUUGUUUCGCCCACCAAGCAAGUCGUUUUGUAUCAGCCCUGAUGGCUGGUCUCAGACAGUCCCGCAGUUGUAGAAGCUGGAGGUGGAGAUCCUGGGCUGGCAUGGUUACACGUGGUCUGCGGUUGUGAGGCCGGUUGGACGUACUGCCAAACUCUCUAAAACGACGAUGGAGGUGGCUUAUGCCAUGACUCUGAGCAUGUCUCCGGCUGCGGUGUGCCAGUGCUUUACGCUGGUGUCACUGUGCACAUCCAUCGCCGACCCAAACUGGAUCCAAGUCAUCAACAACACUGACCCCGGAGGCAAACAGCUCAUCUAUGGUGUGGCUUUCAUACUGCAUGCGCCCCAGAACCUCACUGACACAGGGGAGAGCUUCUACAUCACCAUGCUGGGCCUGCUCUUCUCCUGCCUGGCCGGUGUGAGCAGCCUGGGGGACCCCACCUCCACCCAGAGGGACUACACAGCUGUGGUGGAGUGGGACGACAGUGACACAGAGCCCCUUACCCCCAGGGAGCAGGGAGUGGGACAGUCUGAUGAAGAGGAGGGGGUAGGAGACGUGUUGCCUGAACUGACUCAGGGGGAGGUUAAUUUCCAACCAACAUCAUCAGGAAAUGGUCUUCAUCCAAAACCACAAGAUGACCACACAUGACCAGAACUGUCCCACAUCUUUCCCGAAGUCUUUCUGAAUGCAUAGGUAGGUUUUAGGGUUAGCCAGGCAGGACUCGCUGUGAACAUGAUGUCCCCUCUGUCAGCAAGCAAUGACUUCAGCAGACAAACCACUCCUUGGUAAAUAUAAAUAAUCUAAAGAUAUGGUUGAAUAUAGCCAAUAUCUAUCCUAUUAGUAGAUUGGCACAAGGUUGGUUUACACCUGGGUUGCACUGUUCCAAUCAAAGCUUACCCCCCCCUCUCUUUUCCUUUCCCCAAAGCUUCCUCUACUGUCACGACUCCACUCCCGUCUCCCAUUGGAUGAAAACCAUUGCCAUAGUAACCUUGACAAAUUGUUGAUGUUGCCAGUGAAUUUGUGAAUGAGAGAUAAGAAAGGAGAGAAGCAGGGGAGAGUCAAAGAGCCUAUUUUAGUGGUGGUGUUGCGCCGAUGGGUAACUGAGUGUGUGUGUGUGAGUCUGAGCCUGUAUGUACAGUCUGAGCCUGUAGGUACAAUUGGAAGUAUACAUACACUUAGGUUGGAAUCAUUAAAACUUGUUUUUAAACCACUCCACAAAUUUCUUGUUAACAAGCUAUAGUUUUAGCAAGUUGGUUAGAACAUCUACUUUGUGCAUGAUACAAGUAAUUUUUCCAACAAUUGUUUACAGACAGAUUAUUUCACUUAUAAUUCACUGUAUCACAAUUCCAG